AAAGACUGAAUCAUCAUCAUAUUCUAAGAACCAACAAGUGACAAAUUUAAGAAUCAAAAUGCAAUAAAAGGUAAACUCACCAAGAUGACGCAAAUAACAGGUGGAUAAAAGUGCAAUCAGGGGUGAAUACAAAUAAAUCUAAGAAGAAUAGAAGUCAUAAGGAUGGAUUCAUUGAUAAGGGCAACUCUAGGGUUCAUCAGGUGGCUAACAUGCGAAA
RNAcentral lists this small RNA (217 nucleotides) under Arabidopsis thaliana (thale cress). Its description in RNAcentral is "ATSL193950". Lineage: Eukaryota; Viridiplantae; Streptophyta; Magnoliopsida; Brassicales; Brassicaceae. The record is from RNAcentral.